RNAcentral lists this ribosomal RNA (590 nucleotides) under uncultured bacterium. RNAcentral describes it as "bacterial SSU rRNA". The stretch from base 1 to 515 matches the Rfam family "Bacterial small subunit ribosomal RNA", at positions 338 to 873 of the family's 1533-position model. The record is from RNAcentral.
CCUACGGGAGGCAGCAGUGGGGAAUCUUGCGCAAUGGGCGAAAGCCUGACGCAGCCAUGCCGCGUGAAUGAUGAAGGUCUUAGGAUUGUAAAAUUCUUUCAGUAGGGACGAUAAUGACGGUACCUACAGAAGAAGCCCCGGCUAACUUCGUGCCAGCAGCCGCGGUAAUACGAAGGGGGCUAGCGUUGCUCGGAAUUACUGGGCGUAAAGGGAGCGUAGGCGGGUUAUCAAGUUGGAGGUGAAAGCCCAGGGCUCAACCUUGGAAUUGCCUUCAAAACUGAUAGCCUAGAGUAUGAUAGAGGUAUGUGGAACUCCGAGUGUAGAGGUGAAAUUCGUAGAUAUUCGGAAGAACACCAGUGGCGAAGGCGACAUACUGGGUCAUGACUGACGCUGAGGCUCGAAAGCGUGGGGAGCAAACAGGAUUAGAUACCCUGGUAGUCCACGCUGUAAACGAUGAUUGCUAGUUGUCGGACGGCAUGCCGUUCGGUAGCGCNGCUACGACAUAGACAUCCGCCGUGGGAGGUACGGUCGCGAGAUAAACUUAAUAGAGUAGACGCGUGAGAGUAGCGACGACGACGACGAGGGAGAGG